GGGAGUUCUUAUAAUGAAAGGAAGCUGUGCUACUUUGCGCAAUGCUGUAUGAACUUUCUUACCCGCAAAACAACAUCUAUCACUCGAGUGAAUGGAAUCAAAAUCAGGUUGCAUUGUAUUAGUACUGCAACUUUCUAGAAAAAAAACUUUGAUCACAGCUUGGUACAAAAAGCCGCAUAAAAUAGCUGAGUUAUGUUGGCGAAGAUCCUAGUGGAUUUGGACACGCAAACCGUAAAGAGAGCCAAAUCGACACGAGGAAACCCGUUGACACGAAGCUUGACUUCACAUGACCGAACCGACCGGACAAUCUGCGUGAUGUGACCGUCAGACCUGAAGAACAUCGGAAGAAAACGGAAUGGCCCGUGGGAUGAACUAUCCUGAACGAUUCUAUUUGACGGACCAGCGACAAUUUAGAUUAUUACGAUUUAAGCUCUCACCCAAGAAUACAUCUCGAUGAUAAGCAACCCUCCAACUUCUGCUGCGAUUUCACCACCAUCUUUAUUUUUCAUAACUAAAAGCUGACAAAUAUGUUACACUUGUUGCCUAAAAAUACCAUUCAAGUGCCCUCACCCCCAAAAUAUAUUGCUUACCGCUGGUGUGUAUCAUUUACUGGUGAGCUACAUGCUUGUGUUGUGUUGUCGAAAACAUUGAUAACAUUAUUUUCCCAUAGGGUCUUUCAAAGUCUGCCGAAUUGUUUGACCCUGAAAUUGUUUUCAUUAAACGUACGGUUGUGCAAACGAUUCUAAUCAAAUUUAUUAUCGGAUGUUAUUUCAAUCUGCUCAAAAUCUAUGGGGAAUGACAAAUCUUGCCUAUAAUACGUCUAAGUUGAAUAUGUAUCUUAUAAUAAUCCUUAUGUUAUGCAUUAUCAUGUCUGUACUUAUCUAUGCGUGUGAUUGCCAAGUAUUAUUCUCUUUCCGACAUGUGUAUACGCAGCCCCAGGAAUUUGAUUGAUGUUCAACAAUUACCGAAAUACAAUCGAUUCCUAUACCUUUUCCAGUCACUUUCCAGUAAGGUACGGUGUGGCGAAACCGUUUCCAGGGCCAUGGGUUUUGACCACAAUCGGGUUUAUGGCAGUCUGUGCCUUUACUUUCUAGAACAUACCGAGUCUCCGAUGAAUGGAAGCAAUUAAUGACCUCUACUAUAGCAAAGGGGAACGUAACUGGUUAGUAAGAGCUGGAAACAUAUACAGUACCUUCGUCUAAUUGUUUGUGUACAGUGGUCAAGAGCAAUCUGUUACUAUUGACAGACACCUGCUUUGGUUCUGUCGCGCAUUCACCAAUAAAUACACAAACAGAACAAUACUAUUGAAAGGAUUGUAGAAAGCUUGGUUCGCGAAUCUCAUCCAGGCAUAGAGUACACACCGGUAAGAUUUCACUACCAGAAACUCUGGAGAUAUUUGUUUAUAAAUGUUCUCACAUCCACCAUCCAGUAUUGGAGGUGAAACAUUCACAUACUCCACUGUUGUGAGUCACUUAAUAUGGUGUCUGAUCAAAUGCAAUCCGUACU
Molecule: long non-coding RNA, 1506 nt
Organism: Callorhinchus milii (elephant shark)
Lineage: Eukaryota; Metazoa; Chordata; Chondrichthyes; Chimaeriformes; Callorhinchidae
Exons: 4
Source: RefSeq, a predicted model, not a curated record